This 274-nucleotide ribosomal RNA is filed under the name uncultured bacterium. RNAcentral describes it as "partial 16S ribosomal RNA". It matches the Rfam family "Bacterial small subunit ribosomal RNA", at positions 523 to 796 of the family's 1533-position model. The record is from RNAcentral.
AGACGGAGGGGGCAAGCGUUGUUCGGAAUUACUGGGCGUAAAGCGCGCGUAGGCGGUUUGUCAAGUUGGAGGUGAAAUCCCGGGGCUCAACCCCGGAACUGCCUUCAAAACUGGCCGACUGGAGUCCGGGAGAGGAGAGUGGAAUUCCCAGUGUAGAGGUGAAAUUCGUAGAUAUUCGGAAGAACACCAGUGGCGAAGGCGGCUCACUGGCCCGUUACCGACGCUCAGGCGCGACAGCGUGGGGAGCAAACAGGAUUAGAAACCCCGGUAGUCC